UACAGAGGCCACAAGCGUUAGGCGGAAUCACUGGGCUUAAAGCGUGUGUAGGCGGGUUGGUAAGUCUCUUGUGAAAUCCCACGGCUUAACCGUGGAAUUGCUGGGUAUACUGCCGAUCUUGAGUCAUCUAGAGGUAACCGGAACAGAUGGUGGAGCGGUGAAAUGCAUAGAUAUCAUCUGGAACGCCAAUGGUGCAGACAGGUUACUGGGGAUGUACUGACGCUGAGGCACGAAAGCCAGGGGAGCAAACGGG
This 253-nucleotide ribosomal RNA is filed under the name uncultured bacterium. Its description in RNAcentral is "partial 16S ribosomal RNA". It matches the Rfam family "Bacterial small subunit ribosomal RNA", at positions 524 to 776 of the family's 1533-position model. The record is from RNAcentral.